RNA transcript from Hemicordylus capensis (graceful crag lizard), 2647 nucleotides. It is a transcript of the gene named V-set and transmembrane domain containing 2A, with no coding region annotated. The record is from RefSeq and is a predicted model, not a curated record. NCBI's taxonomy places the organism in Eukaryota, Metazoa, Chordata, Lepidosauria, Squamata, Cordylidae. The transcript has 6 exons.
GGGGGGGGCGAGCACACGCCACAGAGGAGCCAGCGUUAAGGCGCCAUCUCAGCCAUUCCUAGCGCGAGAGGAAAGAGGAAAAAAGUUGAAGUGCGGAAAGCGCAGCUAAGCUCCCUCCCUACUUUUUCCAAGCUGGCUAAAUGUUUAGGGAGGGCACUCAUCACGCAGUCCUGAGCAGCAGGGGCUGACGGAAUUGCCAGGUAGCAACAGAGAAAGGCGCCUGUGAAGAAUCCACUUUCCAACCACUGGGAGGGCUGGAUCUAGACUUCAGGCAUCCGACACCGCCCCCCCGCCCGCCGCCGCCUCUCUCUCUCUCUUGCCCAUCGGAACCCGAUCUGCCCCCUCCAGCUUUGCCAGGAAAAUGCUGGCAGUGGCGCAGCCGGGGCUCCAGUGCCCAAGCGCCUUGUAAAAUCCGUUGCUUUUCAUUUCCUUGCGGGAUUGUGUGUUUUAUUGGCAUUACCCUGAUGUGACUCCCUCCCGCCACUUGCUCUGGAAUGAUGGGGGUCUUUUGGGCUUAUGUUGGAUACCUUUUCUUGUCAGUGUUGUAUAUUCAGCAAGGACUUUCUUCUCAAGCCAAAUUUACUGAAUUCCCUCGAAAUGUCACAGCUACUGAGGGGCAGAAUGUGGAGAUGUCUUGUGCAUUCCAGAGUGGCUCUGCCUCAGUGUACCUGGAAAUCCAGUGGUGGUUUCUGCGGGCAGCUGAGGACCAAGAACCUGGAGCUGAGGUGACGGGCACUCAGGUGGAGCUCUUACCAGAGAGAGAUCUGGACAACGAUGGAACAAAGAUAAGUACAGUGAAAGUACAAGGGAAUGACAUCUCUCACAAGCUGCAGAUCUCCAAAGUCAGGAAAAAGGAUGAAGGGUUAUACGAGUGCAGGGUGACCGACGCCAAUUAUGGAGACCUUCAGGAAUACAAAGCCCAGGCCUAUCUCAAAGUCAGUGCAAACAGCCACUCUCGGCGAAUGCAAGCCUUUGAAGCUUCUCCCAUGUGGCUGCAGGAUAAACCUCGCAAGAACAUUUCAGCAGCCAUCCCUAGUAGCAUCCAUAAUUCAGCCAGUCAGCGUAUGCACCCCACCUCCAGCCCUCCAGCAGAUGCCAAAAUUCCCAAACAAAGCCCACAAUCAGGGGGAGGGAAUUCCACAGUUUAGCACCACCAGAGAAAGGCCAAGAUUCAGGGACCCUCCAAGAGGACUCCUUUGAGGAAUCUUCACCAAGGAAUCUUCACCAAGACAUUAGCAGUAAGAGGAGCUAACAUGAAAGAAAGUCCUCCCAAGUGCAUGCCAAGACAGUCAUGGGCACAAGAGCCAAGCUGGCGAGCUUAUUAAGUAUAUAAAUGUAUAUGUUUAAACAGCCUUAUAAAGGAGCAUUGGAAAUCUGCAAGAUGAGCGAAUAUCUUAUAACUUCUUCCGCAGGUGCGAGGAUAGCUACAAGCCAUGGACUUUCUGUCCUGCUUCUUGUUUGUGGCUUUGUGAAGGGUGCUUUGCUUUAGUCUAAAAGUGCUGACUUUUUCCAAUAUCACUUUCUCUUCUUAAAGCAAAGAGCAAAUCGCCUGUAAAACCUACGGAGCGGACAGCAAAGUUGACCCUAACUUCCAACCACCACCCUGCACCCAAUGUACUCUAACUCUCUACACAAAGGAGCACCUUCUUCAGGACAUACACACAAAAACAAAACAAAACAUUAAACCAAUUUUAAACAAGGAAAGAAGAGGCUAUCACAUGGUUUCUUCAUGUAUUACUUUCUUUGGAACAUAUCACUGGUCUUUUCUUUGAGAGGAACUGGCAUGGUAUAAUAGAACAUUGUUCAACUGGACAUUACAGCAACAUAUUCUUUUCUCUUUUUCAUUUAACAAAGAGAAGUGUUAAAUUCCCUUGACUGUUCAGGGGUUGGUUGCAAAUUUUCAGUGUUAUCAAACUGGACAUUUGCUUUCAUAUCUGGAAAAGCACCACUCUAAGCAGAAGACAAACAGAGCCCAAAUCCCAACUUCAAACUUAUUCAGCAUACAUACAUGAUGUAUGUAUCCAUCUCCAUCACAAUGGAUGGAAAUAUAGGUUUCCCCCCCCCCAGGUGACAAAACUUAGAAUUCAAAGCUGCUAAUUGCACAAGAUGGACUAUUUCUGGAAGACAUGCAAGAAAGUGUUGGAGCCUCUCUUGGGCAUUCUACUCUCAUUUGACUUUUCCUCCCCUUAUUGUUUCUUGCUUUUUUCCUGUUUGAUGGUGGCAGUUACUGGCUCUGGCCAACCCCUGUGGAGCACGAAGGUUUCUAUAUAUAUAUAUAUAUAUACAUCUUUUAUUUUUGUGUGUUCUCUACUAAGAUGUGUUUUCUCUAAUUUUGCAACUCUGUAUAUGCAAAUCUAACUUCAAUUCUGUAAAUUGCUUACAGUAUAUGUGAUAUAAUAACUUCAGAAUAGACAUUCCAUGGUCCAUCCUGCAAGCCAGUUUUGAAUAUUAUCUCAAUGUUGUGCCACCAACGGACAUCUCUGUUUCCUUUUCGAUGAAGCAUUAAUUUUAAUUUAAUUUGUAAUUCAGUACUGUGUUGAAUUUUCAGUACUGUGUGGAAAAAUGCAUUCACUUUUCUCUGGUCUGAGCCCUUGCAGAUGGCAAUGCAAUCCUCUGUUUACUCUGCACAUUAAAAUUUGUUAUGGUC